RNAcentral lists this unclassified non-coding RNA (1234 nucleotides) under Hevea brasiliensis (rubber tree). Lineage: Eukaryota; Viridiplantae; Streptophyta; Magnoliopsida; Malpighiales; Euphorbiaceae. The record is from RNAcentral.
UUUUUUGGAACCCUGAAAACGCUCCUCAAAAGUCACUUGUAUUCAUAUAAAAAACAACCCACUUUCGGUGCCAACCGCACUAUCUUUACUGAAAUUUUCCAUGCUCAAAUCAGAACAUAAAAUUCUAGCACAACACGCUUGUAAAAACACAUGAAAAGGAUCAUAACUUGUUAUACAGACUCAUACCAUCAAUGAAAUUAUUAGAUUUAGAAGCACCGUAAAAGCCAUUCCCAGUAGCACCACAACGAACUUGCUAGCUUAAAACGUGCAAUAAUUCCUAAGUAUAACCUUGCUUGUAUCUGCGAAAAAGGUCUUCUGUUUUUGCAUUCCUGAAAGCACAACAACCUAUCAAAUAAACCCAUAUCAAAGCAACAAGUGUAAUUAGCAAUAUAAUAUCUGCUCUUCUCCAUUCUUUUUUCAGAUUAGCCAACAAUCCAGCCUUGCAGGAAUCGCAAUUGUAGCAAAGUUGGUUUUGGUCAUUGUUCCAAUUCAGGCAGUCCAUAUCUGCAGCAUUGUUGAUGGGACUAAUCCAAUACGUUGGGUUCACAAAGGUGUACCCACAUUGCGUAGGAGGCUUGCAGCAUCCUGACUGCAAGGGGGUAAUACGAGCAUUAAAGAAAUCUUGAGCCAUGCGAUAACUCUGGUUCAACUCAGAACACAUAUCGGUUGCACUAAGGCAGCUUCUUAUUCGAUCCCACUUGUAAGAACUUUGAACCCUUCGGCGAAGCCAUCCUGAAAAAUCAUCGACGUGAUACUCCAAGUAGGCUCUACUUGGUUCAAGGUGACCUGACCCCCUGACGGUGACCAUAUAGAUGAAAACCACUAAACAUGCAAGCAAUAUUAUAAGGAUGAGCAUUGCUAUGAGAUAGAAGAUAAGGAGCCAUGGGAUUCUCCAAAAACCUCCAACAAACCCUGCCAAAGCUACAACCAAAAUCAAUAUCCCCAAAAUAAUGACAGGCCAUUGUAGAAUCUUGACACAAGAGUUGUCUGGUUCCAUCGCUAGCGCUCCGAUUAUUGGAAUUGAGAGAAGCAUGGCAACGAAGUUGAUUGCACCGAUAACAUUGUUGCUUAGUGCCAUUUUGGCGAGAGAAUUAUUUUGGGUUUUGUUUGUUCCUAGAGCUCAAAUAAUGAUCAGGGAAAAAGAUGAAUGUUGAAAAAAUAGCGACAUGAUCUGCUUUAUUCACAUGACCGAUGGCCCAGUUACUUUUUGAAAAGGAGUACCUGUAUAUGGUAG